Molecule: ribosomal RNA, 254 nt
Filed under: uncultured bacterium
Lineage: Bacteria
Description: partial 16S ribosomal RNA
Rfam family: Bacterial small subunit ribosomal RNA
Source: RNAcentral
UACGUAGGGUGCGAGCGUUGUCCGGAAUUAUUGGGCGUAAAGAGCUCGUAGGCGGUCUGCCGCGUCGAUCGUGAAAACUUGGGGCUUAACCCUGAGCUUGCGGUCGAUACGGGCAUGACUGGAGUUCGGCAGGGGAGACUGGAAUUCCUGGUGUAGCGGUGAAAUGCGCAGAUAUCAGGAGGAACACCGGUGGCGAAGGCGGGUCUCUGGGCCGAUACUGACGCUGAGGAGCGAAAGCGUGGGUAGCAAACAGG